This 4300-nucleotide long non-coding RNA is filed under the name Nicotiana tabacum (common tobacco). RNAcentral's name for it is "long non-coding RNA (NTAB_LNC018923)". The record is from RNAcentral. Lineage: Eukaryota; Viridiplantae; Streptophyta; Magnoliopsida; Solanales; Solanaceae.
GUAAAUUCAACUUCUCUCUUCAGCUUUGCUAGUGAUUUAUCUAGUUAUCUUCUUGUUUUUUUACUACCUCAGCUAAUCUGCAUUGGCUUUGGUUGUAGGGGUUCAUGUUUUGCCUCCAGCAGGUAGCAUGUAUACUUAGCUGCAUUGCUUGUAUUACAGGAAACGAUGAACUUCAAGAGGCUUCUCGGGUUCUCAACUGUUGCUCGGACAUGGUUUACUGCACGUAAGACAUUUGACUGAGUAUUAAAAACACGGAUUUAACUUAUAUCUACUGCAAGUGUAAAUUGUGAUCGUAAUAUCCAUCUCUAUUAACUUUUCUUUUUCUUUUGGCAGGGUUUGUAGCUGUAUGCAGGUAGGUGAUAACUUGAAUAUAUUCUGCAUCUGAAAUACAUACCACACAUAGAUUUUCCUAAAUCUAUGCCAAAAGGAAGUCCUGAUAAGAUUAUCUAACUAAAAGAUAACUCAAAUCAAGUUUUCCAGAUACAAAAACAAAAAGUCAUUUGAUAUCAAUCCAAUUUUUUGGUUAAGUUAUCCAAUUUUCGGAUAUUCUCCUCUGUUUUUCUUAUUAAGCAACCUCCACUUCCAACCAAGAGGUUGUGAGUUCGAGUCUCCCCAAGAGCAAGGUGGGAAGUUCUUGGAGGGAAGGAUGUCGUGAGUCUAUUUGGAAACAGCCUCUCUACCCCAAGGUAGGGGUAAGGUUUGCGUACACACUACCCUCCCAGACCCUUCUAAGUGGGAUUAUACUGGGUUGUUGUUGUUGUUUUUCUUAUGUCAUAAAAUUUCUUGGUGAUUUCUUGCCUCGAGCUUGUGCUAUUUUUUAUGUAUAAAUUGAUAUAUUACUCUUUACCUUCAUUUUUUUCACAUAAAAUAUGAUAGUAACAGUGCAUCCUCCCAUAUAAUGUUUACGUAACGAAAGCUGAACUAAUAGCCUAUGUUGCUCGAACUGUCUAAAAAUAUUGUCACAUAUAUGUCUGAUCCACCAAAAUUGCAUUAUCGGAUCUUCCAAAAUUACAUUACUUUAUGAAGAUCCAACAAGCACCUGAGCAACAUAGCUAAGUGAUAGUCGUGUAAAACUAAUUAAUUAAUGUUAUAUGUUCUUUUGAUUAAAAAUACUUUUGUUGAUUCAAAAUAAAUUUGCAGACACAGCACAUGGUAGAAAUGAAUAAAAGAGAUGGUAAAUUUGGGCCAAGGCCAAUGGUAGCACCAGCUGUUCAACAAAUGUCUCGUUUGGAUCAGCCUCUUCCUCCAACCAUCGGAUAUGCACCGCCGCAGCCACAAGCUUAUCCCCCAAAGCAGCUACCCACUAUGUACCCCCCACCACCCCAGCAAUCCCCUAUGUACCCACCACCACCCCAGCAAUCCCCUAUGUACCCACCACCACCCCAGCAACCCUAUGGAUACCCACCACCACCAUCACAACCCCAUGGAUAUCCACCAGCCAAUUAUGCUCCUGGUGUCGGAUACCCUCCAUCUGGUUAUCCGCGGUGAAGGUAGUCCGGUGCACUAAGCUUUUACCGUGCGCGAGGUUCAGAGAAGAGUUAGAUCACAUUGAUCUGAUGUAAGCAGCCUUGCUUUGUAUUGCUACAAGAGAAGCCAAGAAGGUACGAACGGAGUGACGACCCUUUAGAAGAUUGUUUCCCACUUGUAGAACAAGUCAAAAUAAGUACAUAUUCUACAGAAAAGGGUCAAAUAUGCCCCUAUACUAUUUGAAAAAGUCUAAUAUUGCCCUCCGUUAUACUAUCAGUCCAAAUAUAUCCCUAACGUCAUACUAUCGGUCCAAAUAUAUCCGUGACAUCAUAAAAGUGGUACAAACAUACCCUUCCUCCGUUAACUGCCUCCUUAUGACAACAUUUCAUUGCCACCUCACCAUUAUACUCCCAUGUUCAUCCCUUCCCCACAACCUUUCUUUCCCGUUCAUUUGAAGAAAAAUCACAUAUCAUAGAUAUGCAAACAAACUACAUCAAAAAGAAUACUAACAACUAAAGAUAAUAUGAAACAAUGUGAACCGAAAAAAUUCUGAUUUUGCUAUUUAGAGAAUGAACGCUUUCUUGUGAUUGAGGCGUGGAAGCAUUCUGAUUUUCUAUGCAAGAAUUAUAUUCUUAGCGGACUGGAGGACGAUCUGUAUAAUGUCUACAGUGGCGUGGAGACGUCAAAAGAAUUGUGGACUACGCUUGAAAAGAAAUAUAAAACUGAAGAUACCGGGUUGAAAAAAUUUAUUGCCGCUAAAUUUUUGGACUACAAAAUGGUAGAUAGAAAGUAUGUUAUUACCCAAGUCCAGGAAUUACAAGUGAUUAUUCACGAUCUCCUUGAUGAAGGUAUAAAUCGAAUUAAUACAGAUGUUGAAAGUAGUAAUUUUAGUAUUUUUACUAACAGACUUUUCAUUGAAGAUCUUGUCAUGAAUGAAGCAUUCCAAGUAGCAGUGAUGAUUGAGAAGUUACCUCCUUUGUGGAAGGACUUCAAAAACUACUUGAAACACAAACGCAAGGAGAUGUCCCUUGAAGAACUCAUUGUUCGGUUGAGAAUCGAAGAGGACAACAAAGCUGCUGAAAAGAGAGGCUGUGGAAACUCAACAGUAAUGGGAGCAAACACUGUUGAGGAUACUUCUCAAAAUAAAAGAAAGAGGAAGCAGGCUUUUGGACCGAAAAGCAACUCAAGCAAGAAGUAGUUCAACGGAAAUUGCUACAACUGUGGAAAAGCUGGGCACCAAUCUACGGAGUGUCGUGCUCCUAAGAAAGACAAGAAGAAGGGUUAAGCAAACAUGGUUGAAAAGCAUGAAGAUGUUGAUGACUUGUGUGAUAUGCUUUCUGAAUGCAACCUGGUGGAAAAUCCUAAGGAGUGGUGGAUUGAUUCUGGCGCCACUCACCAUGUUUGUGCUGUUAGGGAAGCCUUUGCAACAUAUGCUCUUGUUGGACCCAAAGAGACGCUUUCUAUGGGAAAUGUUGCAGCCGCCAAGAUUGAAGGAUGUGGGAAGAUCUUUCUAACGAUGACUUUUGGUAAGGUGGUGACUUUGAACAACAUCCUUCAUGUUCCUGAGAUUAGGAAGUGUCACACCCCUUUUUUCACUUCACUAACCCUCUUUAAAUAAUAAAAAAGAUUUGUAAAGCUCAAAAGGGUUUUAAUUAAAAAGUGACAAAAAUUGUGUUCAAAGGGAUUUUUUCAGAGUCGCCACCUGACAUUGGUUUCGGUGUGUCAGAUCACCGUUUUUUAAAAUGAUUUUUCCUUUUAAAAUACUUUGGACUCCAAACUAAGUCUGCACCAAAAUUUCGGGUAAGGAGGUUCAUUUGACUCGGGGAGAAGGUGUUAGGCACUCCCCAAGUCCCGUGAAAGUCAUGGUUGAGUAAUCGAUCUAGUUGGCUUUUAAAAUAUUCAAAUUGAGGUAAAAACAAAUACAUAAAAGGAAAUAAACACAUAAAAGGCUCGAGGCCGUCCUCACCUAAUAAAAGAAAGAUAAAAAUAAAAAUAAAAUGAGAUUAAAGGUGCUACGAUUUCGCUUUUGGCCUCCAACUACAGAAUACUACGAGGCAUUCCUCGGAAUAAAAUAUAUACAAAUUCUUCGGGGCAUUCCCCGGAUAAAUUUAACUAAGGGAACGACCUCUCGCCUCAAAACUAAAAAAAAAAAUACUAAGGCUUGCUUACCCAAAUGUGGUCAGCUUAAACAUACCACUAGCGGCCCAAAAAAUAAGAUAUAAUUAACUUAGUAUCAAAUCCAGUUUUACGCAUAAACUAUGACCAAAGCCUAAAUUUCAUUUAAUUUCAACUAACUAGAUUCUCAUCUUUUCGAAUUCUGACCCACGUCCCAAUUUACUGUUCCAAAGUCAAUAGAUCAAAGUGUAGUAGUCAUUUUUUAAGUUGGUCAUGCUAGCACUGGAAAUCAAAUUCAAACUAUUGUCUACUAAUUUAAUAAAAAGCAAUAACUAUGCUAAUUCCUCUAAGUCAACAAACAUGCCACAACAGUUCCAAUUAAACAAGCAAAGACAUACAAUCCCAUGAGAUAAUUUUUUUUUAAAAAAAAGACAAGAGCAAAGGGAAAAAAUGGAGCUCACUGAUGUAAUCUCUCAAAGUCUGAUUAAUGAAAGAGCACCCAACAAUGAAUCAUCAGCAAAUCUUUAAAUGAGCAAUUGGACACGCGACCGGAAACCUCGAUAAUGGCCGGAACUACGAACCAGCUUCAAACAACCUCCUCACUUUAAUCGAACUCCAUAGCAACAAUCAAACUCGGCAAGUCCCUUAGAAAUUCUGUCUAGAUUUUUUUCGUCUGUUGUUGGUGCGUGUGUGCGUGUGUCUGGCGUGAGGGAGAUGA